RNAcentral lists this ribosomal RNA (2903 nucleotides) under Salmonella enterica subsp. enterica serovar Mbandaka. RNAcentral describes it as "23S ribosomal RNA". It matches the Rfam family "Bacterial large subunit ribosomal RNA". The record is from RNAcentral. Lineage: Bacteria; Pseudomonadati; Pseudomonadota; Gammaproteobacteria; Enterobacterales; Enterobacteriaceae.
GGUUAAGCGACUAAGCGUACACGGUGGAUGCCCUGGCAGUCAGAGGCGAUGAAGGACGUGCUAAUCUGCGAUAAGCGCCGGUAAGGUGAUAUGAACCGUUAUAACCGGCGAUUUCCGAAUGGGGAAACCCAGUGUGAUUCGUCACACUAUCAUUAACUGAAUCCAUAGGUUAAUGAGGCGAACCGGGGGAACUGAAACAUCUAAGUACCCCGAGGAAAAGAAAUCAACCGAGAUUCCCCCAGUAGCGGCGAGCGAACGGGGAGGAGCCCAGAGCCUGAAUCAGCAUGUGUGUUAGUGGAAGCGUCUGGAAAGGCGCGCGAUACAGGGUGACAGCCCCGUACACAAAAGCGCAUGUGCUGUGAGCUCGAUGAGUAGGGCGGGACACGUGGUAUCCUGUCUGAAUAUGGGGGGACCAUCCUCCAAGGCUAAAUACUCCUGACUGACCGAUAGUGAACCAGUACCGUGAGGGAAAGGCGAAAAGAACCCCGGCGAGGGGAGUGAAAAAGAACCUGAAACCGUGUACGUACAAGCAGUGGGAGCACCCUUCGGGGUGUGACUGCGUACCUUUUGUAUAAUGGGUCAGCGACUUAUAUUCUGUAGCAAGGUUAACCGAAUAGGGGAGCCGGAGGGAAACCGAGUCUUAACCGGGCGUUAAGUUGCAGGGUAUAGACCCGAAACCCGGUGAUCUAGCCAUGGGCAGGUUGAAGGUUGGGUAACACUAACUGGAGGACCGAACCGACUAAUGUUGAAAAAUUAGCGGAUGACCUGUGGCUGGGGGUGAAAGGCCAAUCAAACCGGGAGAUAGCUGGUUCUCCCCGAAAGCUAUUUAGGUAGCGCCUCGUGAAUUCAUCUCCGGGGGUAGAGCACUGUUUCGGCUAGGGGGCCAUCCCGGCUUACCAACCCGAUGCAAACUGCGAAUACCGGAGAAUGUUAUCACGGGAGACACACGGCGGGUGCUAACGUCCGUCGUGAAGAGGGAAACAACCCAGACCGCCAGCUAAGGUCCCAAAGUCAUGGUUAAGUGGGAAACGAUGUGGGAAGGCCCAGACAGCCAGGAUGUUGGCUUAGAAGCAGCCAUCAUUUAAAGAAAGCGUAAUAGCUCACUGGUCGAGUCGGCCUGCGCGGAAGAUGUAACGGGGCUAAACCAUGCACCGAAGCUGCGGCAGCGACACUGUGUGUUGUUGGGUAGGGGAGCGUUCUGUAAGCCUGUGAAGGUGGCCUGUGAGGGUUGCUGGAGGUAUCAGAAGUGCGAAUGCUGACAUAAGUAACGAUAAAGCGGGUGAAAAGCCCGCUCGCCGGAAGACCAAGGGUUCCUGUCCAACGUUAAUCGGGGCAGGGUGAGUCGACCCCUAAGGCGAGGCCGAAAGGCGUAGUCGAUGGGAAACGGGUUAAUAUUCCCGUACUUGGUGUUACUGCGAAGGGGGACGGAGAAGGCUAUGUUGGCCGGGCGACGGUUGUCCCGGUUUAAGCGUGUAGGUGUGUGUUCCAGGUAAAUCCGGUUCACUUUAACACUGAGGCGUGACGACGAGGCACUACGGUGCUGAAGCAACAAAUGCCCUGCUUCCAGGAAAGCCUCUAAGCAUCAGGUAACAUCAAAUCGUACCCCAAACCGACACAGGUGGUCAGGUAGAGAAUACCAAGGCGCUUGAGAGAACUCGGGUGAAGGAACUAGGCAAAAUGGUGCCGUAACUUCGGGAGAAGGCACGCUGACACGUAGGUGAAGUGAUUUACUCAUGGAGCUGAAGUCAGUCGAAGAUACCAGCUGGCUGCAACUGUUUAUUAAAAACACAGCACUGUGCAAACACGAAAGUGGACGUAUACGGUGUGACGCCUGCCCGGUGCCGGAAGGUUAAUUGAUGGGGUCAGCGCAAGCGAAGCUCCUGAUCGAAGCCCCGGUAAACGGCGGCCGUAACUAUAACGGUCCUAAGGUAGCGAAAUUCCUUGUCGGGUAAGUUCCGACCUGCACGAAUGGCGUAAUGAUGGCCAGGCUGUCUCCACCCGAGACUCAGUGAAAUUGAACUCGCUGUGAAGAUGCAGUGUACCCGCGGCAAGACGGAAAGACCCCGUGAACCUUUACUAUAGCUUGACACUGAACAUUGAGCCUUGAUGUGUAGGAUAGGUGGGAGGCUUUGAAGUGUGGACGCCAGUCUGCAUGGAGCCGACCUUGAAAUACCACCCUUUAAUGUUUGAUGUUCUAACGUGGACCCGUAAUCCGGGUUGCGGACAGUGUCUGGUGGGUAGUUUGACUGGGGCGGUCUCCUCCUAAAGAGUAACGGAGGAGCACGAAGGUUGGCUAAUCCUGGUCGGACAUCAGGAGGUUAGUGCAAUGGCAUAAGCCAGCUUGACUGCGAGCGUGACGGCGCGAGCAGGUGCGAAAGCAGGUCAUAGUGAUCCGGUGGUUCUGAAUGGAAGGGCCAUCGCUCAACGGAUAAAAGGUACUCCGGGGAUAACAGGCUGAUACCGCCCAAGAGUUCAUAUCGACGGCGGUGUUUGGCACCUCGAUGUCGGCUCAUCACAUCCUGGGGCUGAAGUAGGUCCCAAGGGUAUGGCUGUUCGCCAUUUAAAGUGGUACGCGAGCUGGGUUUAGAACGUCGUGAGACAGUUCGGUCCCUAUCUGCCGUGGGCGCUGGAGAACUGAGGGGGGCUGCUCCUAGUACGAGAGGACCGGAGUGGACGCAUCACUGGUGUUCGGGUUGUCAUGCCAAUGGCACUGCCCGGUAGCUAAAUGCGGAAGAGAUAAGUGCUGAAAGCAUCUAAGCACGAAACUUGCCCCGAGAUGAGUUCUCCCUGAGACUUAGAGUCUCCUGAAGGAACGUUGAAGACGACGACGUUGAUAGGCCGGGUGUGUAAGCGCAGCGAUGCGUUGAGCUAACCGGUACUAAUGAACCGUGAGGCUUAACCUU